Molecule: ribosomal RNA, 253 nt
Filed under: uncultured bacterium
Lineage: Bacteria
Description: partial 16S ribosomal RNA
Rfam family: Bacterial small subunit ribosomal RNA
Source: RNAcentral
GACAGAGGGGGCAAGCGUUGCUCGGAAUCACUGGGCGUAAAGGGCGCGUAGGCGGCCCUCUAAGUCGAACGUGAAAUCCCCGGGCUCAACCCGGGAACUGCGUCCGAUACUGGAAGGCUUGAAUCCGGGAGAGGGAUGCGGAAUUCCAGGUGUAGCGGUGAAAUGCGUAGAUAUCUGGAGGAACACCGGUGGCGAAGGCGGCAUCCUGGACUACUACUGACGCUGAGGAGCGAAAGCCAGGGGAGCAAACGGG